CUGGGGCUGCCCUCGGGUCCGUGCAGGGGUGGGUAAAGUGCUGAGAGGGGUCGCUACCCUCCUGUUUUGCCCCCGUGGGAAAGGGUUAAAAUGUCUGGCCAGCCCUUGUGGCUGAGCAUGUAUACGUGUUAAUGGUCUGGCGUGGUGCCUGGUGGCGACCUGGAAAAGAAGCAACUUAGAACAUCUCAUGGUGUUGGGAGUGUGACCCUUUGGUCCUUGAGCUGCUUUCUGUACUCGUCCGGUGCUGAUGUGAAGCGUGGCCCGGUUGUUUCAGCAGUGGGUUUUCUUCUCUUCCUUGAAGGAUUAAUCCGUACCUGGGGAAUUCAAAAUAACAGCAUCCGUUUUGUAGCCUUCCUAUUUCACAUUUCAUCUUGCUUUGAGUUUCUCAGUUUUGAGAAUUAUUUAAAGUAAAACCUAUAAAAUGUAGCGGAUGCACAUGCAUUUUAGCAACUCUUUGCUGUCCUCAGGCUUGCUGUUUCUUCAUCAUUUGGUGUCAUAGUUGCUGUCUAGUUAAGAUCUGAUCAGGUUUGAAAACCGUGCAUUUUGUUGUGAAAAUAUUUAUUGUUUUUAAAUUGAACAUCUCAGAAGUUUCUGAGAAUGCUAUGGGUCUUUCAGCUAUUCAUUUUUUCCUUUUCAGUUUAUGAUUACAGGUGUACAGCUCAUGUUCUUCACCUUUGCUAAAGCUAAAAAGAAGGUUAUAAGCAAUUGACCAGUAUUUUCACUCUGUAUACAUAUUAAUGCAAAUUAUCUCUUCCUAGCUGUGGAAUUUUUCUUACAGGACUUUUUUGUCAUUUGGGCUACUUUCUCUGAUGUAGUAGAGAACAUUUUAAAUUGAAGGCUUGGUUUAAGGAAAGUCAGGUAUUCCACUGUUUUCAUUUUGCAAUAUCAUCUGCUGAUCUGAUAUAUUGCUGUAGUAUAUAAAAUACAUGUGUUUGUAGAACUGCA
Long non-coding RNA from Cyanistes caeruleus (blue tit), 945 nucleotides. RefSeq lists it as uncharacterized. Lineage: Eukaryota; Metazoa; Chordata; Aves; Passeriformes; Paridae. The record is from RefSeq and is a predicted model, not a curated record.